Molecule: ribosomal RNA, 75 nt
Filed under: Dirofilaria immitis (dog heartworm nematode)
Lineage: Eukaryota; Metazoa; Nematoda; Chromadorea; Rhabditida; Onchocercidae
Description: partial 5.8S ribosomal RNA
Rfam family: 5.8S ribosomal RNA
About the family: 5.8S ribosomal RNA (5.8S rRNA) is a component of the large subunit of the eukaryotic ribosome.
Source: RNAcentral
UGGAUCACUUGGCUCGUGGAUCGAUGAAGAACGCAGCUAACUGCGAUAAAUAGUGCGAAUUGCAGACGCAUUGAG